UACGGUGGGGGCUAGCGUUGUUCGGAAUUACUGGGCGUAAAGCGCACGUAGGCGGCUUUGUAAGUUAGAGGUGAAAGCCCAGGGCUUAACCCUGGAAUUGCCUUUAAGACUGCAUCGCUAGAAUCGUGGAGAGGUGAGUGGAAUUCCGAGUGUAGAGGUGAAAUUCGUAGAUAUUCGGAAGAACACCAGUGGCGAAGGCGACUCACUGGACACGUAUUGACGCUGAGGUGCGAAAGCGUGGGGAGCAAACAGG
Molecule: ribosomal RNA, 253 nt
Filed under: uncultured bacterium
Lineage: Bacteria
Description: partial 16S ribosomal RNA
Rfam family: Bacterial small subunit ribosomal RNA
Source: RNAcentral